UGCCGAGUGCCGCACUGCGGCAGCGGGAGAACCAAUUUUGGGGUGAAUACAUCACAGCAUGUUAGGAGACUUCCUCUCCGAACCCGUCAGCUAAUCUCGUAGGCGUUGG
This 109-nucleotide small RNA is filed under the name bovine gut metagenome. RNAcentral's name for it is "ydaO/yuaA leader". It matches the Rfam family "c-di-AMP riboswitch aptamer (ydaO/yuaA leader)", at positions 11 to 121 of the family's 134-position model. From Rfam's summary of the family: This family represents a conserved RNA structure found upstream of the ydaO and yuaA genes in Bacillus subtilis and related genes in other bacteria. The record is from RNAcentral.